UGAGCUGGCAGUGCAGGAAGCCAGGGAGGGAGCAGCCUCAUCCCAUUGGAUGAAGGUGCCCGUGGAAGGGGAGAACAGCCUGGCCAGAGGCAGGUCAGCAUGUGAUGAGCUGCCCUGUUCCCACCUGGGGGCUUGCCAGCAGACCAGGAGAAGCCCUGCAGCAUCAGGCAUUAAUGGCACUAUUUGGGGACAGCAGAAACUGGAGUAAGAUGGGCAGAAAUCCACCCUGGUGUGCACAAACCAGGCCUUUCACCUGCUCUAAAUCUACUGCUGCCUCAGCCACCCAAGAUGCGGGAAGGAUAUGUGAGCAUUCUGAUGGACACAACAGCCACUUCCAACAGCAGGGGUUGUUUUCAGUCCUCAGUUCUUUCAAGUGCUUGAUGAUUUCACAGUCCCUAUAGAGACUGACUUGGAGAAGUUGCUGGCCCACCCUAGCUGGGAUCUGCUGUCCAUAUCCCUGUGGAUGUUCCUGCUUCCAUACUGGAAAUACGUAUGGAUUUCAAUGGCAGUUAGAAAUCAUCACUCUCCACCCAAAUUGUGACCAGCCAAAGAGACUGCAUCACUUGCUCAGAUUUUGGGAGCUUUAAUUGAGGAAAAGCAACUUCAGAGCGUGUUUCCAGGGCCUUCAUCUUCCAGACAAGUGAGAACCACCUGACCACCUCUUUUAGCUUUCCC
RNAcentral lists this long non-coding RNA (675 nucleotides) under Lepidothrix coronata (blue-crowned manakin). RNAcentral describes it as "lncRNA (ENSLCOG00000001640.1)". The record is from RNAcentral. Lineage: Eukaryota; Metazoa; Chordata; Aves; Passeriformes; Pipridae.